AAUAGAAGAAUGACAAAUUAGAUUUUUUCUCUUGAUUUUUAGCUUUUUCCUCUUGAAAAAAAUCAAAUCUAACUAAAAAUACUAAAAAUCAAGAAAAAAUAUCUUAUUUAUCAUUCUCUUAUU
Molecule: microRNA precursor, 123 nt
Filed under: Gossypium arboreum
Lineage: Eukaryota; Viridiplantae; Streptophyta; Magnoliopsida; Malvales; Malvaceae
Description: MIR7504 microRNA precursor family
Rfam family: MIR7504 microRNA precursor family
Source: Rfam by way of RNAcentral